Molecule: ribosomal RNA, 471 nt
Filed under: uncultured bacterium
Lineage: Bacteria
Description: bacterial SSU rRNA
Rfam family: Bacterial small subunit ribosomal RNA
Source: RNAcentral
GACGAACGCUGGCGGCGUGCUUAACACAUGCAAGUCGAACGAGGUCCCACCGCGUAGCAAUACGAAGGGAAGACCUAGUGGCGAACGGGUGCGUAACACGUGAGGAACUUGUCCCGGUCUCUGGGAUAACAGUUGGAAACGACUGCUAAUACCGGAUGACGUCGGAAUCUCGCAUGGGAUACUGACGAAAGGGUUACUGGAUCGGGAGAGCCUCGCGGCCUAUCAGCUUGUUGGUGAGGUAACGGCUCACCAAGGCAUCGACGGGUAGCUGGUCUGAGAGGAUGAUCAGCCACACUGGGACUGAGACACGGCCCAGACUCCUACGGGAGGCAGCAGUGGGGAAUCUUGCGCAAUGGGCGAAAGCCUGACGCAGCAACGCCGCGUGCGGGAAGAAGGCCCUCGGGUUGUAAACCGCUUUCAGCAGGAACGAAAAUGACGGUACUUGCAGAAGAAGGUGCGGCCAACUACGUG